CCCCACGUUCACUGCAUGAUUCAUAGCCACGCGUUCCAGGAAACAAACUCACUCAGAAGGACAAUGCAGAUAGUGGAGUGCAGUUUAUUACACCGGCGGGCCCAAGGCAGAGUCUCCUCUUAGCCGAGGAUCUCAACCAGUCUUUGUGAAAACCUUAUAUACCCUGAGUGUAUCAGGUUUGCUGAAACUAGUCUGAAGAAAGGAAAAAGAAAGAACAAUAAAAGUUAACCCGUGAUUCAUAUGCCUUAAACCUAGUUAACAGUGGACAAUUAUCAAUAGGCUUGUGGUCAUACCCCAAUAAACAUAAUAGAAUGUAUGAUUCUAUUCGGUUACACAGAUAAUCAGGGUAUUCUUUUAGGCAUGGAAAGCCCUAGGGCUCUUCCUUCCGGGGGCCUGGUUUUCCAGUUGGUAUGUCGUUUCCAUAGACACUGGGCAUAUAGCUCAAAGUCCACAGUCCGGCCCAAGAUGGAGUCCUGCUUUCAAGACAGAGCCUGUUCUCUUUUCUCCUUCAAUAGUAGCCAAGAUUUGGAAACAACCUGUGUCCACUGGCAGGCUCUCCAAGACAAGCGAUCACAACACAGAAAACCAGGCAGCACCGCUCCAUUUCACAGAAGAAAAAAGGGAAGCAGCAAUAAACUUCAGAAGGCAGUACACUCAUCUGUCCCUUAAAUCAGAAGAAAAAGCAUCAAAACUGGGGCGAGGGGAGGGGCCACAGGAGAACUACAUUAAAAGGUGAAUUCCUUCUUCCACAUUUUGUCUAAGAUUUUGACAUACCAAAUUUUCUUAAACCUACAAAAGUAAAACUCAACCUGUACUUUUUUCUCCAUUACUUUUUCCUUGAUGCCCUUUCUAUAUAAGAGGUAGGGUGAAAAACUAUAAAGAAAAAAACAAAUUAAAACAGACAAACUCUCCAUAUUAACAUAAUUUAUCAACAUCUUCAUACCAAAGUGUAACAGUCAAUAAUGUUAACCUUAUGAGUUCCUAAAAUCUAGUGUAUUUUCUCAGGAAGGUCUUGAUAAAAUGCCUAUUCAACUGCCUGCAAAAUCUGCCAACAAAAGAAGAGUUACCCUAUACAAAAUACUAAUGUGUAUUUAACAUUGCUGUGUAAUUUUUAUACAUCUGUUUUCUAAGACCAGGCAUAGUUCCACUGUAGCUGCCCUGGAAGACAGAGAGCCUGAACAGAUAUUGGCACUUUUGCCCUGAACAGGAAACACAAACGAGAAGAAGGGGGU
Molecule: long non-coding RNA, 1232 nt
Organism: Dama dama (fallow deer)
Lineage: Eukaryota; Metazoa; Chordata; Mammalia; Artiodactyla; Cervidae
Exons: 3
Source: RefSeq, a predicted model, not a curated record